GGGGUCGUAGCUCAAUUUGGUUAGAGCGCCUGCCUGUCACGCAGGAGGUUGCGAGUUCAAGUCUCGUCGAUCCCG
Molecule: transfer RNA, 75 nt
Filed under: Ignavibacteria bacterium
Lineage: Bacteria; Pseudomonadati; Ignavibacteriota; Ignavibacteria
Description: tRNA-Asp
Rfam family: tRNA
About the family: Transfer RNA (tRNA) molecules are approximately 80 nucleotides in length. Their secondary structure includes four short double-helical elements and three loops (D, anti-codon, and T loops).
Source: RNAcentral